RNAcentral lists this transfer RNA (63 nucleotides) under Marmota monax (woodchuck). It matches the Rfam family "tRNA". Rfam says of the family: Transfer RNA (tRNA) molecules are approximately 80 nucleotides in length. Their secondary structure includes four short double-helical elements and three loops (D, anti-codon, and T loops). Further hydrogen bonds mediate the characteristic L-shaped molecular structure. tRNAs have two regions of fundamental functional importance: the anti-codon, which is responsible for specific mRNA codon recognition, and the 3' end, to which the tRNAs corresponding amino acid is attached (by aminoacyl-tRNA synthetases). tRNAs cope with the degeneracy of the genetic code in two manners: having more than one tRNA (with a specific anti-codon) for a particular amino acid; and 'wobble' base-pairing, i.e. permitting non-standard base-pairing at the 3rd anti-codon position. Lineage: Eukaryota; Metazoa; Chordata; Mammalia; Rodentia; Sciuridae. The record is from Rfam by way of RNAcentral.
GGGGAUGUAGCUCAGUGGUAGAGUGCUUGCCUGGCGUGCUGGGUUUGAUCCCCAGCAUCCCAA